AUGCAUGCGAUGUGGCACAAGACCGGCAAUACCUUGCCGGUGAUGGUCACCAACCGGCAGACGGGUAGCAAAAAGGUUCUUGUGCUGCACACCAACAAGAACUUUGACCAGCAGAGGACCAACUGGGUGAUGCACCAGUACCACCUCGGGGACCUGGAGCAAGAGAAGGAGCGGGAGCUGGUCCUCUGCAAGAUUUUCUACCAGACGAACACUAGGGCCAGGAGUCGAGCAAGUUUCAACUGGGCUGUAGACUGCCCAGGCUUGGUUUUGUUUUUAACAGGCCCAGCCCAUCACGACAACGGGGCACAAAGAUCCAGCAGGUAUCUACUGGCCUAA
RNAcentral lists this ribosomal RNA (336 nucleotides) under Triticum aestivum (bread wheat). Its description in RNAcentral is "partial small subunit ribosomal RNA". Lineage: Eukaryota; Viridiplantae; Streptophyta; Magnoliopsida; Poales; Poaceae. The record is from RNAcentral.